AGAGUUUGAUUCUGGCUCAGGAUGAACGCUGGCGGCGUGCUUAACACAUGCAAGUCGAACGGAGUUUUUAAACGGAAGUUUUCGGAUGGAAGUUUAAGAACUUAGUGGCGGACGGGUGAGUAACGCGUGGGUAACCUGCCUCAUACAGGGGGAUAACAGUUAGAAAUGACUGCUAACACCGCAUAAUAUAGUGAAACCGCAUGAUUUUUGCUAUCAAAUAUUUAUAGGUAUGAGAUGGGCCCGCGUCUGAUUAGCUAGUUGGUGGGGUAAAGGCCUACCAAGGCGACGAUCAGUAGCCGGCUUGAGAGAGUGACCGGCCACAUUGGGACUGAGACACGGCCCAAACUCCUACGGGAGGCAGCAGUGGGGAAUAUUGGACAAUGGGGGAAACCCUGAUCCAGCCGACGCCGCGUGAGUGAAGAAGUAUUUCGGUAUGUAAAGCUCUAUCAGCAGGGAAGAUAAUGACAGUACCUGACUAAGAAGCCCCGGCUAACUACGUGCCAGCCGCCGC
Molecule: ribosomal RNA, 511 nt
Filed under: uncultured bacterium
Lineage: Bacteria
Description: bacterial SSU rRNA
Rfam family: Bacterial small subunit ribosomal RNA
Source: RNAcentral